CCUUGACCUCGCCUACGGCCUGGGUGGACCAGGAGGGAGAAACAAACACACAGAGUUCCCACCAUAAAUCCAGAGAACGCCAGACUUUGAUGACAAAGUUUGAUGACACCUUCAUGUUUAAGUGAGCACAUCACAAGCCACGAAAAAGUGCACAGUUGGGUGCCAAACGGAUCCCCUGGUCGUUAAUGGAUGGUGGGACCUACCAGAAGGAGCCAAUUCUCUCUCAACUCAUACGAAAAGGACAUGCCAUAAUGAGGCCUCUGAUAGUGACCCGAGUUACUGAUACAUCAACAAUGACAGGCCCUCCCAGUCUACACCACCUCAUAAGAUUGCCUGCUGCAGUUGUUCGAGAGACGGCCAGUUUACAGCCGAACACGCAGCAUAGAGAAGACCAGCAAAGGGGCCCUCAUCAGCAUCAUGCAGACAUGCCCUUGCUGUGAGCAUUCAUAUGAAUAGAACAGUGAGCCACAUGUUGGCAAGUAUCCGGCCAGCAACCGUCACCUGUCAAUGGCCACAGCUUUCACAGGCUCCUCAUUUGUACAAAUACAGAAGGUAACCCACUUCAUUACUUCGAUACAUUUGUUAACCCAAUUGUAAAACAUCACUUCUGUAAACUGACUUUAUUUGUUGCUUGUUUUGUACUUCUUAGAUGCAUAUAAUGUCCAGGGCAUAUACUGCCAGUAUAAUAAGCCCGUUAGAGCUGGCCUGAAUGCUGUGUUCAGCGUUCCAUUUAACUUCACAUUGUAUGAUAUCUGAAGUGAAAUAGAGAGGUGAAUGCAGUGAUCAGGUUGGUUUCACCAGGCUACUCAUACCCAUUAUUAAUAAUGGAAUCAGUGCUCUGUGUGGGUGCGUGUGGGUGCGUGUGCCUGUGUGUGUUUGUGUGUGUGAAUCUGCGCUGCUAUGCCCAUCACUGAGGCUCUGGCAAAGACCUCACCCCCAACCUCACAUCUUGCCUGUUCACCAACAGUCGUCGAUGCGGAGAACAAAAAUUAGGUAGGUUUAGUUUGACUUGUGUCAGAUAUUAUCUAUCCUGAAUGCCAUUGUUAAUAGAACAGUGACUAUGUAUGUCAUGUAUGUGCUCAUAGAAACAUGUGGAGUCAACACAUGGAGACUUGCAAGAUAAUGUGAUGAAGUCCAGACUGACAGAUGGGCUUGAUACUCAUGCCUCUGAAUGGAGAGAGACCUGGCACUCGGCAUAAA
Oncorhynchus mykiss (rainbow trout) is the source of this 1200-nucleotide non-coding RNA. NCBI's taxonomy places the organism in Eukaryota, Metazoa, Chordata, Actinopteri, Salmoniformes, Salmonidae. The record is from RefSeq and is a predicted model, not a curated record.